GGAUGAACGCUAGCGGAACGCCUAACACAUGCAAGUCGAACGCCCCGAGCAAUCGGGGAGUGGCAAACGAGCGAGUAACGCGUACCUAAUCUGCCCAGAAGGCAUGGACAACUACGGAGACGUAGCUAAUCCGUGAUAGUAUCUUAAGGCUGAAAUGCCUAUAGAUUAAAGAUUUAUCGCUUCUGGAGGAGGGUGCGUCCUAUCAGGUUGUUGGUGAGGUAAUGGCUCACCAAGCCUAUGACGGGUAGCCGGUCUGAGAGGAUGUCCGGCCGCGAUGGGACUGAGACACGGCCCAUACUCCUACGGGAGGCAGCAGUGGGGAAUCUUGCGCAAUGGACGAAAGUCUGACGCAGCGAUUCCGCGUGGAGGAUGAAGCAUCAUGGUGUGUAAACUCCCUUUCUGGUGGAAGACGAAUGACGGUACACCAGGAAUAAGGGACGGCUAACUACGUGCCAGCAGCCGCGGUAAUACGUAGGUCCCAAGUGUUAUCCGGAAUUACUGGGCGUAAAGCGUCUGUAGCCGGAUAUAUAAGUCUGUUUUCAAAUCCUAUGGCUCAACCAUAGAAAGGGAAUAGAUACUGUAUAUCUAGAGUUUGUUGGGGGUUAGUGGAAUUUCCGGUGGAGCGGUGGAAUGUGUUGAUAUCGGAGGGAAUGCCAAAAGCGAAAGCAGCUAACUACAGCAAAACUGACGGUCAGAGACGAAAGCUUGGGGAGCGAACGGGAUUAGAUACCCCGGUGGUCCAAGCCGUAAAUUAUGCAUGCUACCUGUCUUGUCCACAUAUGUGGGUGGGGUGCCGUAAUCUAACGAGUUAAGCAUGCCGCCUGGGUAGUAUAUGCGCAAGCAUGAAACUCAA
Molecule: ribosomal RNA, 853 nt
Filed under: uncultured candidate division SR1 bacterium
Lineage: Bacteria; Candidatus Absconditibacteriota
Description: bacterial SSU rRNA
Rfam family: Bacterial small subunit ribosomal RNA
Source: RNAcentral